GACGAACGCUGGCGGCGUGCUUAGCACAUGCAAGUCGAACGGAAAGGCCCUGCUUUUGUGGGGUGCUCGAGUGGCGAACGGGUGAGUAACACGUGAGUAACCUGCCCUUGACUUUGGGAUAACUUCAGGAAACUGGGGCUAAUACCGGAUAGGAGCUCCUGCUGCAUGGUGGGGGUUGGAAAGUUUCGGCGGUUGGGGAUGGACUCGCGGCUUAUCAGCUUGUUGGUGGGGUAGUGGCUUACCAAGGCUUUGACGGGUAGCCGGCCUGAGAGGGUGACCGGCCACAUGGGAUGGGAGAGCGGCCCGAGCGUCAGACGGGGGGGAACGGGGGAGAAUAUUAAAGAGUGGGGGGGGGCCUGAAGCAGAAGCGCCGGGGGGGGAAUGGCGUCUUUCGGUUGGAAAACCGUUUUCGCUUGUGAGAAAGGGGGAGGGCGGGUAGGGGGUAAAAAAGCCCGGGCUAACUACGUG
Molecule: ribosomal RNA, 468 nt
Filed under: uncultured bacterium
Lineage: Bacteria
Description: partial 16S ribosomal RNA
Rfam family: Bacterial small subunit ribosomal RNA
Source: RNAcentral